RNAcentral lists this ribosomal RNA (217 nucleotides) under Limosilactobacillus reuteri. RNAcentral's name for it is "Lactobacillus reuteri partial 16S ribosomal RNA". It matches the Rfam family "Bacterial small subunit ribosomal RNA", at positions 1 to 186 of the family's 1533-position model. Lineage: Bacteria; Bacillati; Bacillota; Bacilli; Lactobacillales; Lactobacillaceae. The record is from RNAcentral.
UUUAUAUGAGAGUUUGAUCCUGGCUCAGGAUGAACGCCGGCGGUGUGCCUAAUACAUGCAAGUCGUACGCACUGGCCCAACURAUUGAUGGUGCUUGCACCUGAUUGACGAUGGAUCACCAGUGAGUGGCGGACGGGUGAGUAACACGUAGGUAACCUGCCCCGGAGCGGGGGAUAACAUUUGGAAACAGAUGCUAAUACCGCAUAACAACAAAAGC